Molecule: ribosomal RNA, 654 nt
Filed under: Nemania bipapillata
Lineage: Eukaryota; Fungi; Ascomycota; Sordariomycetes; Xylariales; Xylariaceae
Description: eukaryotic LSU rRNA
Rfam family: 5.8S ribosomal RNA (bases 276-429)
Source: RNAcentral
CUUGGUCAUUUAGAGGAAGUAAAAGUCGUAACAAGGUCUCCGUUGGUGAACCAGCGGAGGGAUCAUUAGAGAGCUUAAAAAACUCCCGCAAAACCCCUGUGAACAUACCUUACGUUGCCUCGGCAGGCCCUGGCCGCGCACCCCCGCGGCCGCCCUACCUUGUAGGGCUCGCGGGGGAGGCGCGGGCGGGACCUGCCGGCGGCCCGCGAGAUGAGAGAUCAUCAAAACCCGUCUAGCACUGAAUUCUGAGCCGGUAUAAUAGAUAAUUAAGUUAAAACUUUCAACAACGGAUCUCUUGGUUCUGGCAUCGAUGAAGAACGCAGCGAAAUGCGAUAAGUAAUGUGAAUUGCAGAAUUCAGUGAAUCAUCGAAUCUUUGAACGCACAUUGCGCCCAUUAGUAUUCUAGUGGGCAUGCCUGUUCGAGCGUCAUUUCAACCCCUUAAGCCCCUGUUGCUUAGCGUUGGGAGCUUACGGCCCGCCGUAGCUCCUUAAAGUUAGUGGCGGAGUCGGCCCGCACCCCAGGCGUAGUAGUCAAACCACCUCGCCCGCGGUCGGACCGGUCCCCUGCCGUAAAACCCCCCGGUUUCUCGCAGAGGUUGACCUCGGAUCAGGUAGGAAUACCCGCUGAACUUAAGCAUAUCAAUAAGCGGAGGA